GCUGGAUCCCCUCCUUUCUAGGGAUUAUCCCGAGGUUAAACGGUGCAUCUGUGUGAUGUGCUGAUUUCUCUACACUUGUAGUAUUUUUGAGCUAGCUACCUGGUGCGGUUUCUGUCACUUUUUAGUUGUUGGAGUUCGGCUGUCGGUUUAUUGCCAAGCCGCUUGGGCCUGUAGCUCAGUUGGUUAGAGCGUCCGGCUGAUAACCGGGAGGUCACUAGUUCGAGUCUAGUCAGGCCCACUUUGCUUGGGGAUGUAGCUCAGCUGGGAGAGCGCCUCCCUUGCACGGAGGAGGUCAGGGGUUCAAAUCCCCUCAUCUCCACAAGCAAGUUUGCCCUAAAAAAGUUGUUACCACCGCUUGACAUACCAUAAGGGCUGUGCUAUACUAAGAAAACCAAUUCAUUUAACUGAAGUUAUCGGCCAGAAAGUGCUUUUAGAUGCAACUGAUGACAACCCGUACGGCGGUAACCAAAUAGCGCAGUAACCUACAUAGCUCCGGUCUAUUGUUACCCGGCACUGUGCCGGGUUUUUUUAUGCCUUGUUCGUUGUCGGGUGAGCACGACCCAAAGGUGGUGCUCGCCCCCCAGCCAGCAAGGAGCCUGUUGGCCGGGUAGUACCUUAAAAAACUAAAUAGAACAGACAGUUCAAUGAAUUGCUGGGGUUAUCACGUGUGAUAAGCUACUAAGGGUGCACGGGGGAUGCCUUGGCGUCAAGAGCCGAUGAAGGACGUGGUUGGCUGCGAUAAGCUCUGGAGAGCCGUCAACAGGCGUUAUUAUCCAGAGAUGUCCGAAUGGGGAAACCCGGAAGC
RNAcentral lists this unclassified non-coding RNA (805 nucleotides) under uncultured bacterium. Its description in RNAcentral is "partial contains 16S ribosomal RNA, 16S-23S ribosomal RNA intergenic spacer, and 23S ribosomal RNA". The stretch from base 669 to 805 matches the Rfam family "Bacterial large subunit ribosomal RNA", at positions 1 to 135 of the family's 2925-position model. The record is from RNAcentral.